Molecule: ribosomal RNA, 425 nt
Filed under: uncultured bacterium
Lineage: Bacteria
Description: bacterial SSU rRNA
Rfam family: Bacterial small subunit ribosomal RNA
Source: RNAcentral
UGGGGGAUAUUGCGCAAUGGGCGAAAGCCUGACGCAGCGACGCCGCGUGGGUGAUGAAGGCCUUCGGGUCGUAAAGCCCUGUCGAGGGGGAAGAAUCGGUUGCGACCUAACACGUCGUGAUCCUGACGGUACCCCUAAAGGAAGCCCCGGCUAACUCCGUUCCAGCCGCCGCGGUAAUACGGAGGGCGCGAGCGUUGUUCGGAAUCACUGGGCGUAAAGCGCGUGUAGGCGGCCCAUUAAGUCUGAUGUGAAAGCCCGGGGCUCACCCCCGGAAGUGCAUUGGAAACUGAUGGGCUGGAGUCCCGGAGAGGAGGGUGGAAUUCCUGGUGUAGCGGUGAAAUGCGUAGAUAUCAGGAGGAACACCGGUGGCGAAGGCGGCCCUCUGGACGGUGACUGACGCUGAGACGCGAAAGCGUGGGGAGCAA